UCCGGCUUAUCACCGGCAGUCCCCCUAGAGUGCCCAACUAAAUGAUGGCAACUAAAGGCGAGGGUUGCGCUCGUUGCGGGACUUAACCCAACAUCUCACGACACGAGCUGACGACAACCAUGCAUCACCUGUGUACCGACCUUGCGGGGAGCACAUCUCUGCGCUUUUCCGGCACAUGUCAAGCCUUGGUAAGGUUCUUCGCGUUGCAUCGAAUUAAUCCGCAUGCUCCGCCGCUUGUGCGGGCCCCCGUCAAUUCCUUUGUGUUUUAAUCUUGCGACCGUACUCCCCAGGCGGUCUACUUCACGCGUUAGCUGCGUUACCAAGUCAAUGAAGACCCGACAACUAGUAGACAUCGUUUAGGGCGUGGACUAC
RNAcentral lists this unclassified non-coding RNA (372 nucleotides) under uncultured Pseudomonadota bacterium. Its description in RNAcentral is "uncultured proteobacterium contains 16S-23S intergenic spacer region". Lineage: Bacteria; Pseudomonadati; Pseudomonadota. The record is from RNAcentral.